Molecule: ribosomal RNA, 852 nt
Filed under: Triticum aestivum (bread wheat)
Lineage: Eukaryota; Viridiplantae; Streptophyta; Magnoliopsida; Poales; Poaceae
Description: partial small subunit ribosomal RNA
Source: RNAcentral
AUGCCGAACUAGAGGGUUUGUAAAAGGCAUGUGUAUCACACCAUGAUGUAGAUAUUCUCGUUGAAGCUAGCUUACACUUCUUCAUAUGUUAGUGGCCCAGUUCAGUUGUAUGGAUACGUGGCUGUCAGAGAUCUCUUGAAUCCCAUGCGAAAUUACGUCUUCAACCGUACAAAAAAUGAUCCUUUGGUGGUCGAGCAUGAAGGCUUUAUACAAAUGUUUGGCCCCAAGAGAGGCAUCAGAAUGCAAGCUCCGGUGCUGAUAGAGUUCGGUCUGAAGAUUAAGACAGGAGGAGGAGAAGAAGGUGAUGAUCAACAGAUUGAUGGUGUUGCCAUAUUCGACGACAGAAUCUCAGGACAUGCUAGAGUAAACACGCAACGAAUGGAUGGUGAUGGUGGCUCGGUGGACAUAAAGUUUGCAGUUCUGGAACGUGCCUCGUAGGCCAUUGUACAGGUUGGGAUAUCAGAAAUUGAGAAGGGCAGUUGCUUUAGCUUGUGUUUGGCAGGGUCUUACACUAGCUCAUCUUAUGUUGCACGUGGCAAAAUCCAGCUGUUUGAUGGGGUUAUCGCUGCCGAGGCAUCCGAGCUAAGCAGAGCCAUGGUUGCUGUGGCACAAGAUGCUAAGCUGGUUGUAAAACUGAAGGUUAGUCAGAAGGGUGGGUUGGACAUCCAUCGAUGCACCAUCUUCCUGGUUGAAAAGCAUGGAAGUCGGUCCUUCAUUUUAAAUCUUGGUGUGGCCAGUGUGGAGGUGAUGGUAACUUGGUCAACAAUGGAUAUUCCCAAAAGUCUUCUUGGGCCUAAUUGCUUCACGCAUGAGUUCAUGGCAUCUCAGGGCGUUGAUUAUGUCGAUGAAUAA